Molecule: long non-coding RNA, 297 nt
Organism: Mytilus californianus (California mussel)
Lineage: Eukaryota; Metazoa; Mollusca; Bivalvia; Mytilida; Mytilidae
Exons: 4
Source: RefSeq, a predicted model, not a curated record
UCAUUGAAGAUAAUUCAAGUAGGUAAAAACAUUGAAGAUAAUGCAAGUGGGUAAUAUCAUUGAAGAUAAUUCAAGUAGGUAAUAUCACUGAAGAUAAUUCAAGUAGGUAAUAUCAUUGAAGAUAAUUCAAGUAGGUAAUAACAUUGAAGAUAAUUCAAGUAGGUAAUAACAUUGAAGAUAAUUCAAGUAGGUAAUAUCAUUGAAGAUAAUUCAAGUAGGUAAUAUCACUGAAGAUAAUUCAAGUAGGUAAUAUCAUUGAAGAUAAUUCAAGUAGGUAAUAACAUUGAAGAUAAUUCA